RNAcentral lists this ribosomal RNA (780 nucleotides) under uncultured bacterium. RNAcentral describes it as "bacterial SSU rRNA". It matches the Rfam family "Bacterial small subunit ribosomal RNA", at positions 8 to 796 of the family's 1533-position model. The record is from RNAcentral.
AGAGUUUGAUCAUGGCUCAGGACGAACGCUGGCGGCGUGCCUAAUACAUGCAAGUCGAACGAGGUUCAACUGGUGGCAACACCGGUGAAGACCUAGUGGCGAACGGGUGAGUAGCACGUGAGCAACCUGCCCCGAAGACCGGGAUAACACCGGGAAACCGGUGCUAAUACCGGAUAUCCCCAUCGAACCGCAUGGUUUGACGAGGAAAUGGAUUCCGCUUCGGGAGGGGCUCGCGGCCUAUCAGCUUGUUGGUGAGGUAACGGCUCACCAAGGCGACGACGGGUAGCUGGUCUGAGAGGACGAUCAGCCACACUGGGACUGAGACACGGCCCAGACUCCUACGGGAGGCAGCAGUAGGGAAUCUUGCGCAAUGGGCGAAAGCCUGACGCAGCAACGCCGCGUGGAGGACGAAGGCUUUCUGAGUUGUAAACUCCUUUCAGCAGGGACGAUUGUGACGGUACCUGCAGAAGAAGCACCGGCCAACUACGUGCCAGCGGCCGCGGUGAUACGUAGGGUGCAAGCGUUGUCCGGAUUUAUUGGGCGUAAAGAGCUCGUAGGCGGUUCGAUAAGUCGGGUGUGAAAUCUCCAGGCUCAACCUGGAGUCGCCACUCGAUACUGUCGUGACUAGAGUCCGGUAGGGGACCAUGGAAUUCCUGGUGUAGCGGUGAAAUGCGCAGAUAUCAGGAGGAACACCGGUAGCGAAGGCGGUGGUCUGGGCCGGCACUGACGCUGAGGAGCGAAAGCGUGGGGAGCGAACAGGAUUAGAUACCCCCGUAGUCC